ACGCGAGCUGGGUUCAGAACGUCGUGAGCCAGUUCGGUCCCUACCCGUCGCCGCCUUGGGAACUUUGAGAGGCCCUGUCCUUAGUACGAGAGGACCGGGAUGGACGUACCUCUGGUGUACCAGUUGUCCUGCCAAGGGCAUGGCUGGGUAGCUAUGUACGGAAUGGAUAAGCGCUGAAAGCAUCUAAUCGCGAAGCCAACUUCAAGAUAAGAUUUCCCACCGCAAGGGUAAGACCCCAGAAAGACUAUCUGGUUGAUAGGUCGAAGGUGUAAGU
Molecule: ribosomal RNA, 274 nt
Filed under: Clostridioides difficile
Lineage: Bacteria; Bacillati; Bacillota; Clostridia; Peptostreptococcales; Peptostreptococcaceae
Description: partial 23S ribosomal RNA
Rfam family: Bacterial large subunit ribosomal RNA
Source: RNAcentral